AUCUCGCGGGUUGGACGCAAUGGACAGCGCUUUGGACUUCUAAUCCAAAGGUCGUGGAUUAAAAUCCCACCUGGGAUG
Trichonephila inaurata madagascariensis is the source of this 78-nucleotide non-coding RNA. NCBI's taxonomy places the organism in Eukaryota, Metazoa, Arthropoda, Arachnida, Araneae, Nephilidae. The record is from the annotation of a GenBank genome assembly.